GCAAGCUGCAUCCGGUGAUUGCUGCUGGUUACCUGUUUCCUUUGUGAAAGUGAGCAGCAGCUUGUGCUGCUGCUGCAUCCCGUCGUGUGGACGGAAGGAACUCAGAUAAGAUACUCAAGUGCUGCAAGGUAAUGUGAAAAAGAGCGGAGAAAUGAAACUCCCUUAUCUAUGGAAAAGUGAGGAUUUGCUGAGAAAAACGGAAUCGGAGCGAGAGAAUAUUGUCUGGGAAUGGAAAGAGCUGCAAAGGUUUCUCCGAGAUCAAGAAGAGCUCUUGUUAAGGCAGUUGGAAGAGCUAGAGAAGGACAUCAUCGCCAGGCGAGACGAGCACCUAUCCAGAAAUGGCCGCGGCCGAGCCAGCCGGCGGCAAGGAGAAAAGAAACCUCUGUCAAAGAGUCUCAGAAGGGCGACCAAGGGCAGGAAGAAUGGGGCAUUUUCUAAAUGUCAGAGAGACUUCAUUGAGGUGGAGUGCAGGUUCAACCGCUUUUUGAGAAAGAGGAUUGAACUAAGAGAAGUUUUAUGUACAUUUAAAGGUGAGUUCAGACGGACGAUGGACAUGUUGGUCUAGGACAGUGGUGGCUAACCUUUUUGGGCUCCUGUGCC
This 600-nucleotide long non-coding RNA is filed under the name Naja naja (Indian cobra). Its description in RNAcentral is "lncRNA (ENSNNAG00000010967.1)". The record is from RNAcentral. Lineage: Eukaryota; Metazoa; Chordata; Lepidosauria; Squamata; Elapidae.